UACGUAGGGACCAAGCGUUGUUCGGAUUUACUGGGCGUAAAGGGCGCGUAGGCGGCUUAACAAGUCACUUGUGAAAUCUCCGGGCUUAACUCGGAACGGCCAAGUGAAACUGUCAAGCUAGAGUGCAGAAGGGGCAAUCGGAAUUCUUGGUGUAGCGGUGAAAUGCGUAGAUAUCAAGAGGAACACCUGAGGUGAAGACGGGUUGCUGGGCUGACACUGACGCUGAGGCGCGAAAGCCGGGGGAGCAAGCGGG
RNAcentral lists this ribosomal RNA (253 nucleotides) under uncultured bacterium. RNAcentral describes it as "partial 16S ribosomal RNA". It matches the Rfam family "Bacterial small subunit ribosomal RNA", at positions 524 to 776 of the family's 1533-position model. The record is from RNAcentral.